AUACGUAGGGGGCGAGCGUUGUCAGGAAUGAUUGGGCGUAAAGGGCGCGUAGGCGGCCCGGUAAGUCUGGAGUGAAAGUCCUGUUUUUAAGAUGGGAAUUGCUUUGGACACUGUCGGGCUUGAGUGCAGGAGAGGUAAGUGGAAUUCCCAGUGUAGCGGUGAAAUGCGUAGAGAUUGGGAGGAACACCAGUGGCGAAGGCGACUUACUGGACUGUAACUGACGCUGAGGUGCGAAAGUGUGGGGAGCAAACAGGAUUAGAUACCCUGGUAGUCCACACUGUAAACGAUGAAUGCUAGGUGUAGGGGGUAUCGACCCCUUCUGUGCCGCAGUCAACACAAUAAGCAUUCCGCCUGGGGAGUACGGCCGCAAGGUUGAAACUCAAAGGAAUUGACGGGG
RNAcentral lists this ribosomal RNA (397 nucleotides) under uncultured bacterium. RNAcentral describes it as "partial 16S ribosomal RNA". It matches the Rfam family "Bacterial small subunit ribosomal RNA", at positions 523 to 918 of the family's 1533-position model. The record is from RNAcentral.